Molecule: long non-coding RNA, 564 nt
Organism: Scatophagus argus
Lineage: Eukaryota; Metazoa; Chordata; Actinopteri; Scatophagidae
Exons: 2
Source: RefSeq, a predicted model, not a curated record
UCACUCUCACUAAAGGAGGCAGAGGAAUAGCUAAACAUUUCACACACCUUACAGAAGACGGGAGAGGGAGAGGCAGAGGGAGAGUGAGUGGAAGAAGCCAUUAUAACUGUCAUCAGUUACCUAAAUGGCAUGAAUAAUAUUUCCAAUAUAUAAAUUAAUAUGGUUAUUUCAUUUGUUUAUGGUGAGCAUGGUUUUCAUGGUGCGCAGUAUAUUUUUGUGUUGUAUUGGGGUGGAAUCUUCUAUUCUACUUCCUGGGGGACAUAAUUCAGGGACGUACAGGAAAGGGAUAUCUUGAAAAACAGCGGUAAUCCAGUUUUCGCCUACCAGGACCAAAGAAGGCUUAAGCUUUAUGCGUGAGAUGUAUUUGAUGAAUAUUGCAAGAGAAGAAUGUAACGCGGGUCAUUUAACGUUUGAAUGGACCCCGGUUGUGGAAUAUUGUUCUUGAAGAAAUGUUAUGAAGAGUGAUGAACCUUUGUGUGCAACGAACCUAGCUCCUUUUGGUAACAAGCUGCCAGCGAGUUUUCACGGGACGAAGCUGAAUAAAGAACGCCCUGUAGUUUAAAA